AGGUUGGGGGGCAACAAAGGCAAGCUGAGCGGUCAGGGGUCCUUGCUCCCGCUGACGAGCGGGGAGGAGGCUCGCGUGAGAACUGCCCAUAGUGGGGGAGAAACGGGGGAGAACUCGAGCUAUCCGCAUCGUCCUCGGGACAAAGCAGGGGACCUUUUGGCCUUGCGCUGAUGGAUGAGCUCGCGUCGGAUUAGCUUGUUGGUGAGGUAAAGGCUCACCAAGGCGACGAUCCGUAGCUGGUCUGAGAGGAUGAUCAGCCACACCGGGACUGAGACACGGCCCGGACUCCUACGGGAGGCAGCAGUGGGGAAUCUUGGACAAUGGGGGCAACCCUGAUCCAGCCAUGCCGCGUGUGUGAAGAAGGCCUUCGGGUUGUAAAGCACUUUCAGUAGGGAGGAAGGCUUUGGGCUAAUACCCUGAAGUACUUGACGUUACCUACAGAAGAAGCACCGGCUAAUUUCGUGCCAGCAGCCGCGGUAAUACGAAAGGUGCAAGCGUUAAUCGGAAUUACUGGGCGUAAAGCGCGCGUAGGCGGUGUGUUAAGUCGGAUGUGAAAGCCCAGGGCUCAACCUUGGAAUUGCAUCCGAUACUGGCACGCUAGAGUGCAGUAGAGGGAGGUGGAAUUUCCGGUGUAGCGGUGAAAUGCGUAGAGAUCGGAAGGAACACCAGUGGCGAAGGCGGCCUCCUGGACUGACACUGACGCUGAGGUGCGAAAGCGUGGGGAGCAAACAGGGAUUUAGAAUACCCUGGUAGUCCACGCCCGUAACGAUGUCUACUAGGCCCGUCGGGGUCCUUUAGAUGACUUUGGUGUGCGCAGCCUUAACCGCGGAAUAUAAGGUAGAA
Molecule: ribosomal RNA, 843 nt
Filed under: Alcanivorax sp.
Lineage: Bacteria; Pseudomonadati; Pseudomonadota; Gammaproteobacteria; Oceanospirillales; Alcanivoracaceae
Description: bacterial SSU rRNA
Rfam family: Bacterial small subunit ribosomal RNA
Source: RNAcentral